Molecule: ribosomal RNA, 478 nt
Filed under: uncultured bacterium
Lineage: Bacteria
Description: partial 16S ribosomal RNA
Rfam family: Bacterial small subunit ribosomal RNA
Source: RNAcentral
GAUGAACGCUGGCGGCGUGCUUAACACAUGCAAGUCGAACGAGAAGUGAAGACGGAAACCUUCGGGCGGAAGGCUUUAUUUCGAGUGGCGGACGGGUGAGUAACGCGUGGGUAACCUGCCUCAUACAGGGGGAUAACAGUUGGAAACGACUGUUAAUACCGCAUAAGACCACAGCACCGCAUGGUGCGGGGGUAAAAACUCCGGUGGUAUGAGAUGGACCCGCGUUCGAUUAGCCAGUUGGCGGGGUAACGGCCCACCAAAGCGACGAUCGAUAGCCGAUCUGAGAGGAUGACCGGCCACAUUGGGACUGAGACACGGCCCAAACUCCUACGGGAGGCAGCAGUGGUGAAUAUUGCACAAUGGGGGAAACCCUGAUGCAGCGACGCCGCGUGAGUGAAGAAGUAUUUCGGUAUGUAAAGCUCUAUCAGCAGGGAAGAAAAUGACGGUACCUGAGGAAGAAGCCCCGGCUAACUACGUG